UAGGGAAUCUUCCGCAAUGGACGCAAGUCUGACGGAGCAACGCCGCGUGAGUGAAGAAGGAUUUCGGUUCGUAAAACUCUGUUGUUAGAGAAGAACAGCGCAUAGAGUAACUGUUAUGCGUGUGACGGUAUCUAACCAGAAAGCCACGGCUAACUACGUGCCAGCAGCCGCGGUAAUACGUAGGUGGCAAGCGUUGUCCGGAUUUAUUGGGCGUAAAGCGAGCGCAGGCGGUCAAUUAAGUCUGAUGUGAAAGCCCCCGGCUCAACCGGGGAGGGUCAUUGGAAACUGGUUGACUUGAGUGCAGAAGAGGAGAGUGGAAUUCCAUGUGUAGCGGUGAAAUGCGUCGAUAUAUGGAGGAACACCAGUGGCGAAGGCGACUCUCUGGUCUGUAACUGACGCUGAGGCUCGAAAGCGUGGGUAGCAAACAGG
Molecule: ribosomal RNA, 429 nt
Filed under: Bacteroidota bacterium
Lineage: Bacteria; Pseudomonadati; Bacteroidota
Description: Bacteroidetes bacterium partial 16S ribosomal RNA
Rfam family: Bacterial small subunit ribosomal RNA
Source: RNAcentral